This 534-nucleotide ribosomal RNA is filed under the name uncultured Acidobacteriota bacterium. RNAcentral's name for it is "SSU rRNA". It matches the Rfam family "Bacterial small subunit ribosomal RNA", at positions 364 to 915 of the family's 1533-position model. Lineage: Bacteria; Pseudomonadati; Acidobacteriota. The record is from RNAcentral.
UUGCACAAUGGGGGAAACCCUGAUGCAGUGACGCCGGCGUGAACGAUGAAGCCCUUCGGGGUGUAAAGUUCUUUCGGCAGGGAAGAUAAUGACGGUACCUGCAGAAGCAGCUGCGGCUAACUACUUGCCAGCAGCCGCGGUAAUACGUAGGCAGCGAGCGUUGUUCGGAGUUACUGGGCGUAAAGGGUGUGUAGGCGGCUUUCUAAGUUUGGUGUGAAAUCUCCCGGCUCAACCGGGAGGGUGCGCCGAAAACUGGGAGGCUAGAGUGUGGGAUGGGAGAGUAGAAUUCCUGGUGUAGCGGUGAAAUGCGUAGAUAUCAGGAGGAAUACCGGUGGUGUAGACGGCUCUCUGGACCACAACUGACGCUGAAACACGAAAGCGUGGGUAGCAAACAGGAUUAGAUACCCUGGUAGUCCACGCCCUAAACGAUGCAUAUUUGGUGUAGGUCAUUCAGUUGAUCUGUGCCGGAGCUAACGCGUUAAAUAUGCCGCCUGGGGAGUACAGUCGCAAGGCUGAAACUCAAAGGAAUUGACG